Molecule: ribosomal RNA, 452 nt
Filed under: uncultured bacterium
Lineage: Bacteria
Description: SSU rRNA
Rfam family: Bacterial small subunit ribosomal RNA
Source: RNAcentral
AGGAUGAACGCUGGCGGCGUGCCUAAAACAUGCAAGUCAUACGGGCUUACCUUCGGGUAGCCAGUGGCAAACGGGUGAGUAACACGUGGGAACGCGCCUUGGGGUGGGGAAUAACGCUGAGAAAUCAGUGCUAAUACCGCAUAUGGUCUAACGACUAAAGCAGCAAUGCGCCCCGAGAGCGGCCCGCGACCGAUUAGCUAGUUGGUGGGGUAAUGGCCUACCAAGGCGGUGAUCGGUAGCUGGUCUGAGAGGAUGGUCAGCCACACUGGGACUGCGAACGGCCCAGACUCCUACGGGAGGCAGCAGUUAGGAAUUUUCGGCAAUGGACGAAAGUCUGACCGAGCGACGCCGCGUGGAGGAUGACGCCUUUCGGGGUGUAAACUCCUUUUCUGCGGGAAGAUAAUGACGGUACCGCAGGAAUAAGCACCGGCUAACUACGUGCCAGCAGCCGC